GUCGGCGGAGGUGGGCCGGGGCAGGAGCUCGGCCUCUGAUUGGAAAAGGGAUGCGGGGGCGGGGCGGUGGGCGUGGCCAACGGCCGGAGCCCGAGCCUUUGCUUAGUUUCCUCGAGUUGGAUCUGAGUUGUUUUCGUAGCUGACGAACCGGUUUAGGGGUACCCCCAUCCCCAAGGAAGAUCAGAACUGCUUUAAGGAUGCAGGACAACCCCCGAGGCCCAGGCUGUGGGGAACUGGACAUCCCUUUGCUUACCCCAGGACUGGUCACGGCCCAUGAUCAUCAGUCAAGCCAUAUCCAAGAGCGUGGAGGCUAUUUCUGCACGUGGUCGUCUUCUAGGAACUAGAAAGCCACCCUUCAGGAGUCCCCAUCACAGUGGGACAAUGGCCGGCUCCUCCUUUUGCAGCCUUUACUGAAGUGUUAGCUAGCUGGCAAAGGAUCUGCUAGUAGAACCUGGGGUUUUUGUCCCCUGUGCCACACACCCCUUUCCCCUCAAGAUAUCCAGUACUAUUCCUUCAGGGAGGAGAUUUGAGCUUUGUUCAGGCAGCAGGAGAAGACAUAGUCCUCACGGGUCACGCAAGUUUCCUUCAAAGGUCAAGGCUCACAGGAUUCCUUAGGGGAGAGGGCUGGGCGUGAUCAGGAACCCCACUGUAGGCUUGCAUGUCAGUGCAGAGGGCAGGUCCCUUCCCCUCAUAUUUCCCUGCUCUGUCCCAGAGCUCAGCUCAGACCCAAAGGCUCUUCCAUUUACCAUCAACGUGGAAACUUGGCUCUUCACAUGGGUGUAUUCUCCCUCUUUUGUGCAUUAUCUUGUUCCUCAAAACUGUCGUUUCAUGAAGGAGGCUUGUGGAGUCAAGGGCCCUGGCCAGACACCCAGAGGUGACUGAGCCCUUCAGACCUCAGGUUGGGUAGAGCAAUUUAAUAAAGGCUUUAUGUCCUUGA
Ailuropoda melanoleuca (giant panda) is the source of this 937-nucleotide long non-coding RNA. RefSeq lists it as uncharacterized. The record is from RefSeq and is a predicted model, not a curated record. Lineage: Eukaryota; Metazoa; Chordata; Mammalia; Carnivora; Ursidae. The transcript is spliced from 2 exons.